RNAcentral lists this ribosomal RNA (345 nucleotides) under uncultured bacterium. RNAcentral describes it as "bacterial SSU rRNA". It matches the Rfam family "Bacterial small subunit ribosomal RNA", at positions 1026 to 1377 of the family's 1533-position model. The record is from RNAcentral.
AUCGGAACACAGGUGCUGCAUGGCUGUCGUCAGCUCGUGUCGUGAGAUGUUGGGUUAAGUCCCGCAACGAGCGCAACCCUUGUCAUUAGUUGCUACGCAAGGGCACUCUAAUGAGACUGCCGGUGACAAACCGGAGGAAGGUGGGGAUGACGUCAAGUCCUCAUGGCCCUUAUGGGUAGGGCUUCACACGUCAUACAAUGGUCGGUACAGAGGGUUGCCAAGCCGCGAGGGGGAGCCAAUCCCACAAAGCCGAUCGUAGUCCGGAUUGUUCUCUGCAACUCGAGAGCAUGAAGUCGGAAUCGCUAGUAAUCGCGGAUCAGCAUGUCGCGGUGAAUACGUUCCCGG